UCAAAUUUAAUUCAAACUGCAACAGGUAAAGCUUCUUCCCCGUACAGUUCUUUGCUGCGUUUUAGUAUUCGUAAUUGAUGGAUUCUUUGGAAAGGAGUAACCUUAAGUCGCCGGCUUCGGUGGAACGGAGUACUCUCAAAUCGACGCCUCCACAGUUGGACAAUAGAUGAAGUACUCACUGGAGUAAUCUUUCUGGGGAUAAGACUCUACAUGGAUACAACAAGCCAGGAGUCGAGAAAUGGAGUUAUCACUGCACUGGUCUUGCUCACUAGGAAUAAUUUGCAGCUAUUUUUCUCACUAGCAGAUUAUUAAAGACAGCAAGGAGGUAUCGAGGUCCUGAGGUAUGCACACAAAAGAGUAUUAAUCGUAUCAAUAAAGACUUCUGAAUUUAUACCAUUGAUUCUAUUACAAAAAAGGAUCUAGCAUUUUUAUUGUUUCGACAAUGCUGAGUUUUGUGAAUUAGGCGACGGCACAGUACAUUCAUGGCACGCUGAACAACUCGAGCAUGACUAUAUCAAAUAUGAUCGGACCACUGAAACAAAUGCCGUUAGCUGAUCAUCUGGUUAAGGACUUUUAUUUUAUGGUAGUUGGGGUUCCGCAGGUAUGUAUAUGUUAAUUAACACAUUUCGUUCAUCCUUUUCAUCAGCUUAGUUGAGGAAGGUCUAUAAUGAUCUACUGCAGAGCCUUACUAUCUAUCUAUAUUAUAAAAGGAUUUAAAUACUGCAGAGCUUAGUUGAGAAAGUUUUACUUAUGAACUGAUUCAAAGGGAUUUAAUCUCUAUUUUUAAUGAUAAAGAAUUGGAACUGUUAAUUAGUGGGCUACCAUAUAUUGAUUGUGAGUUCUCUGAUGCUGUACUUUAUAACUCAGAUAUGUUAAGAGUACUAUGUUCUGUUAUACUAAUUUUUUAUAUAUUAUCCUCUAAAGUGGAUGACAUGAGAAUGAAUACCGAGUAUUUAGGGUAUAGUGCUGGAUUUCCUGUUAUACAGUGGUUUUGGGAGGUUGUACAGAGUCUUAGCAAGGAGGAUACAGCACGACUCUUACAGUUUGUUACUGGCACCUCAAAGGUACAUACUUAGAUUCUGUAUCAUCUAU
This is a long non-coding RNA of Daucus carota subsp. sativus, 1092 nucleotides long. RefSeq lists it as uncharacterized. The transcript has 3 exons. The record is from RefSeq and is a predicted model, not a curated record. NCBI's taxonomy places the organism in Eukaryota, Viridiplantae, Streptophyta, Magnoliopsida, Apiales, Apiaceae.